GGCCGAGGGCACGUCUGCCUGGG
RNAcentral lists this non-coding RNA (23 nucleotides) under Arabidopsis thaliana (thale cress). The record is from RNAcentral. Lineage: Eukaryota; Viridiplantae; Streptophyta; Magnoliopsida; Brassicales; Brassicaceae.